UACGAAGGGUGCAAGCGUUACUCGGAAUUACUGGGCGUAAAGCGUGCGUAGGCGGUUUGUUAAGUCCGCUGUGAAAGCCCUGGGCUCAACCUGGGAAUUGCAGUGGAUACUGGCAAGCUAGAGUGCGGUAGAGGAUGGUGGAAUUCCCGGUGUAGCGGUGAAAUGCGUAGAGAUCAGGAAGAACAUCGGUGGCGAAGGCGCUCUGCUGGACCAUAACUGACACUCAGGGACGAAAGCUAGGGGAGCGAAUGGG
This 253-nucleotide ribosomal RNA is filed under the name uncultured bacterium. RNAcentral describes it as "partial 16S ribosomal RNA". It matches the Rfam family "Bacterial small subunit ribosomal RNA", at positions 524 to 776 of the family's 1533-position model. The record is from RNAcentral.